RNAcentral lists this ribosomal RNA (2929 nucleotides) under Bacillus velezensis. RNAcentral describes it as "23S ribosomal RNA". It matches the Rfam family "Bacterial large subunit ribosomal RNA". The record is from RNAcentral. Lineage: Bacteria; Bacillati; Bacillota; Bacilli; Caryophanales; Bacillaceae.
GGUUAAGUUAGAAAGGGCGCACGGUGGAUGCCUUGGCACUAGGAGCCGAUGAAGGACGGGACGAACACCGAUAUGCUUCGGGGAGCUGUAAGCAAGCUUUGAUCCGGAGAUUUCCGAAUGGGGAAACCCACCACUCGUAAUGGAGUGGUAUCCAUAUCUGAAUACAUAGGAUAUGAGAAGGCAGACCCGGGGAACUGAAACAUCUAAGUACCCGGAGGAAGAGAAAGCAAAUGCGAUUCCCUGAGUAGCGGCGAGCGAAACGGGAUCAGCCCAAACCAAGAGGCUUGCCUCUUGGGGUUGUAGGACACUCUGUACGGAGUUACAAAGGAACGAGGUAGAUGAAGAGGUCUGGAAAGGCCCGCCAUAGGAGGUAACAGCCCUGUAGUCAAAACUUCGUUCUCUCCUGAGUGGAUCCUGAGUACGGCGGAACACGUGAAAUUCCGUCGGAAUCCGGGAGGACCAUCUCCCAAGGCUAAAUACUCCCUAGUGACCGAUAGUGAACCAGUACCGUGAGGGAAAGGUGAAAAGCACCCCGGAAGGGGAGUGAAAGAGAUCCUGAAACCGUGUGCCUACAAGUAGUCAGAGCCCGUUAACGGGUGAUGGCGUGCCUUUUGUAGAAUGAACCGGCGAGUUACGAUCCCGUGCAAGGUUAAGCAGAAGAUGCGGAGCCGCAGCGAAAGCGAGUCUGAAUAGGGCGAAUUGAGUACGUGGUCGUAGACCCGAAACCAGGUGAUCUACCCAUGUCCAGGGUGAAGUUCAGGUAACACUGAAUGGAGGCCCGAACCCACGCACGUUGAAAAGUGCGGGGAUGAGGUGUGGGUAGGGGUGAAAUGCCAAUCGAACCUGGAGAUAGCUGGUUCUCUCCGAAAUAGCUUUAGGGCUAGCCUCAAGGUAAGAGUCUCGGAGGUAGAGCACUGAUUGGACUAGGGGCCCCUACCGGGUUACCGAAUUCAGUCAAACUCCGAAUGCCGAUGACUUAUCCUUGGGAGUCAGACUGCGAGUGAUAAGAUCCGUAGUCGAAAGGGAAACAGCCCAGACCGCCAGCUAAGGUCCCAAAGUAUACGUUAAGUGGAAAAGGAUGUGGAGUUGCUUAGACAACCAGGAUGUUGGCUUAGAAGCAGCCACCAUUUAAAGAGUGCGUAAUAGCUCACUGGUCGAGUGACUCUGCGCCGAAAAUGUACCGGGGCUAAACGUAUCACCGAAGCUGCGGACUGUUCUUCGAACAGUGGUAGGAGAGCGUUCUAAGGGCUGUGAAGCAAGACCGGAAGGACUUGUGGAGCGCUUAGAAGUGAGAAUGCCGGUAUGAGUAGCGAAAGAGGGGUGAGAAUCCCCUCCACCGAAUGCCUAAGGUUUCCUGAGGAAGGCUCGUCCGCUCAGGGUUAGUCGGGACCUAAGCCGAGGCCGAAAGGCGUAGGCGAUGGAUAACAGGUUGAUAUUCCUGUACCACCUCCUCACCAUUUGAGCAAUGGGGGGACGCAGGAGGAUAGGGUAAGCGCGGUAUUGGAUAUCCGCGUCCAAGCAGUUAGGCUGGGAAAUAGGCAAAUCCGUUUCCCGUGAAGGCUGAGCUGUGAUGGCGAGCGAAUUAUAGUAGCGAAGUUCCUGAUUCCACACUGCCAAGAAAAGCCUCUAGCGAGGUGAGAGGUGCCCGUACCGCAAACCGACACAGGUAGGCGAGGAGAGAAUCCUAAGGUGAUCGAGAGAACUCUCGUUAAGGAACUCGGCAAAAUGACCCCGUAACUUCGGGAGAAGGGGUGCUCUGUUAGGGUGCAAGCCCGAGAGAGCCGCAGUGAAUAGGCCCAGGCGACUGUUUAGCGAAAACACAGGUCUCUGCGAAGCCGUAAGGCGAAGUAUAGGGGCUGACGCCUGCCCGGUGCUGGAAGGUUAAGAGGAGCGCUUAGCGUAAGCGAAGGUGCGAAUUGAAGCCCCAGUAAACGGCGGCCGUAACUAUAACGGUCCUAAGGUAGCGAAAUUCCUUGUCGGGUAAGUUCCGACCCGCACGAAAGGCGCAACGAUCUGGGCACUGUCUCAACGAGAGACUCGGUGAAAUUAUAGUACCUGUGAAGAUGCAGGUUACCCGCGACAGGACGGAAAGACCCCGUGGAGCUUUACUGCAGCCUGAUAUUGAAUGUUGGUACAGCUUGUACAGGAUAGGUAGGAGCCUUGGAAACCGGAGCGCCAGCUUCGGUGGAGGCAUCGGUGGGAUACUACCCUGGCUGUAUUGACCUUCUAACCCGCCGCCCUUAUCGGGCGGGGAGACAGUGUCAGGUGGGCAGUUUGACUGGGGCGGUCGCCUCCUAAAAGGUAACGGAGGCGCCCAAAGGUUCCCUCAGAAUGGUUGGAAAUCAUUCGCAGAGUGUAAAGGCACAAGGGAGCUUGACUGCGAGACCUACAAGUCGAGCAGGGACGAAAGUCGGGCUUAGUGAUCCGGUGGUUCCGCAUGGAAGGGCCAUCGCUCAACGGAUAAAAGCUACCCCGGGGAUAACAGGCUUAUCUCCCCAAGAGUCCACAUCGACGGGGAGGUUUGGCACCUCGAUGUCGGCUCAUCGCAUCCUGGGGCUGUAGUCGGUCCCAAGGGUUGGGCUGUUCGCCCAUUAAAGCGGUACGCGAGCUGGGUUCAGAACGUCGUGAGACAGUUCGGUCCCUAUCCGUCGCGGGCGCAGGAAAUUUGAGAGGAGCUGUCCUUAGUACGAGAGGACCGGGAUGGACGCACCGCUGGUGUACCAGUUGUUCUGCCAAGGGCAUCGCUGGGUAGCUAUGUGCGGACGGGAUAAGUGCUGAAAGCAUCUAAGCAUGAAGCCCCCCUCAAGAUGAGAUUUCCCAUUCCGCAAGGAAGUAAGAUCCCUGAAAGAUGAUCAGGUUGAUAGGUCUGAGGUGGAAGUGUGGCGACACAUGGAGCUGACAGAUACUAAUCGAUCGAGGACUUAACCAA